Equus caballus (horse) is the source of this 8538-nucleotide non-coding RNA. NCBI's taxonomy places the organism in Eukaryota, Metazoa, Chordata, Mammalia, Perissodactyla, Equidae. The record is from RefSeq and is a predicted model, not a curated record.
UGUCCGCGCCCAGGAUCCGAACUGGCAAAACCUUGGGCCACCAAAGCGAAGCACGCCAACUUAACCACUCGGCCAAAGGCCUGCUCCAUAUACACAGAUUUUAUAUCUUCCAAUGUUGAUAAAUGGAUCUGUCAAGUUUUGAUCAUGUGAAUGUUCUUUUGCCAUCACUUCAUAUGCCACAGCUGCGAAAGAAUGAGAGGAAAGAAAAUAUGUUUUGCAUCCAUGUGUCAUGCAUUUCACUAAGAGAUAAUCACAUUUAAGAAAUGUGGAUGUUGAGUCCCAAAACGGUAAGUGCAGGUAAUAGAGUAAAUCAAAUCAGAAAAUAUGGUGAAAAUAGCAUUACAGCUUAUCUUUCCAACUUUCAGCCUUAAGACAUAUCUUAGCACUCAUAUUUCUAAUUUAAAUGAAGGUAAAUAUACUUUAAACUUUGACUUCUUAAUUCGGACCUGGAAAAAAAGAGGAACCUGUUUUGUCUGUGCUCAUGACUAGAAAAAACUGUCAUGCAGUAGAAUAAAGAAAAUAAAUAUAUAUGAAUAAUAAGAUAAACUGUGAAUAAGAAUAUAGACUAUAUUCUAUCACAGUUUAUAAAAUUGGAUUCUAAAUCUAAGGACAAAGUUGGAAACCGCAUGAGAAUCUUGAUUCUUUAGAAUCUCCAAGGAAAUAAAAAUUGUGUACAGUAACAAAAAUAUAACAACCAGUAUUACAAAUAAGUGAUUUUCUAAAAUACUGUAAUUAAUAUUUUAUGUAAAUCAACUAAAAUUAGAUGACAUAGCUUUUUAACAUUUUGUAAUCAAUUGCCAUGUUUAAAAAAACCAAAAUAGUGAUUAAAACUACAGAUAAUUCCCCAGCAUUUUGCUAUGAAAUCUUCAGCAGCUCAAGAGCUUAGCACAAGGUAUAGCCAUUUUAGAUUGGAGGUAGCUUAGGGGUGUCAAGAGCACCAGACUAGAGUCCCUGGGGGUAAAGUGCUCUGAUAACUACCUGAGUGACAUCUCUGGGUACAUUUCCUUUUUUUUUUAAGGAAGUAGUUGGACUGGAUGCUUGUGUCUGAAAUCUUUAGAUCAUGGCCAACUUUAAGAAAAUGAUAAAAGCUAUGAAAUAGCUCCUCAGAAAAAUCCACAUAUUCCAAAAUAUUUCCAUUUCUGGAAGAUUCUGUGUGUCCUUCAAGCCACUUUGUGGAACCCUCAGGACCCAUUGGUCUCAUGAACUCAGGGUUCAGGAACCUUGAAUUGGGAUUAUUUUAAAUAUUCCUUUCCUCUGUGAUAUUUAUGUUCUGUAUUUCUGAGUACCAAGUUCAUUCUGAGUACCAUGGAUCAUCUGAACUUGUAUUUUGAAGCAGAAUUCAAAUGGAAUCUUUUUACUUGAUUACACUUGUGAAAUACAAAUAGGUCCAAACUUACUCAAGGACAAAUCAACCAACCAAAUUCAAAGGGAAACUUAUAUGUAACUAGUCAAACCCUGAAGCUCUUGAGUGAUCUAGGAUCACAAGUCUGUUCCUAAACCAGUCACUACUACAGACGGCCAGAUUAUUGUUUAGUGCUUUUAUUGCUGUUAUCUCUACUCCACAGACAGAAUUUCUGGGCUUCCAUCCACCUUGUGGAGGUGGAAAAGACAAAUUACUAAUAACUGGUAGCAAUACCUGGGGAUUUUUGUGGCAGUCAAAAGACUUGGAUCAGAAUUCCAUUGCUUCUUUUUACUGGUUGGGUGAUUACAGCAAUUUAAUUUCUGGCUCCAAACUUUCAUUUUCUUUAUUUGUAAAACAGGGUAUAAAACCUCCCAGACAGGAUUCUUGUGACAUAGACUACACACAUGCACAUACACAUUUAUACGUAUUUUAAAAAUCCUCCAAGGCAGGGUUUUUCAAAGAUAAGAGAACAUAUACAUAAAUACACAUGUAUAUGCAUACAUGUGUGAAUAAAUAUACAUAUGUGUGUCUAUGAAUACACAUGCAUAUGUGUGAACAUGUGCUCUAUGUGUGUGUGUUUGUGUGUAUUCUAACAGAGUGUUUGGCAUAGAGAAAUACCUUAAACAAGAUAGCUUCUUUUGUUUUCAGCAUGGCCUCUGCCAGCAUAGAAAGCACCUUGAGCAGGAUAAAAAAGGAACUCCUUCUGAAUGAGUACAUUCUCAAAAGAUGCCUGUUCCUCCUGGCUAACCCAAGCCAGACCAGGGCUCAGGACUAGAUUUCUGCCAUUACUGAUUCCUUGAGGUGGGCAUCAAAAAUCGCUCUGCUACACAUUAAGCUGCUCUUGGUCUGGUUCUCGCCAUGCCCUACACCAGUAAUUCUCAAAGGAUGCUCCCAAGACCAGCAGCAGCAUCACUUGGAAACUUGUUAGAAAUAUACAUUCUCAGGCCCCACACCUGACCUGCUGAAUCAGAAACUCUUGGAUAGAGCCCAGCAAUCUGUGUUUAACCAGCCCUGCAAGCUUGCUGAAGUACCACUGCCCUACACCACGUUCCACUCCCCGUUACACUAACAAGUGAUAAGUAGUUAGUGAGAACAGACUCCCUCCUCCUCCUGCUUCUGUUCUUCCUCCUCCCUAUGUUUCUCAACCAAAGAGAAUUUACCAUGACAUGCUGAAGAGAUGUGAGGACAUUCAUGCGUUAUAAAGAGUAAAAAGUUUCUUCAGCCUGAUGUUAUUCAUUUAAUUUCUUCCAAGUGUUACAUCUGCUACUGACCACUUCAGAGAAGUGACGCUGGGUUAUGCUUUCCUGGGGUUCCCUCAGAUGACCUCCUAACCCUGUGAUCUCCAUUUACUUCUGCCUGAGCCCUCCUGUAAGAAAGCCCUACCUGUGAGCAGGUCAGGUAACUCAAAUCCCCACCCACAGAAUGAGGCAUUUCGGCAGGACCAUAUCUUCAAGUUGAUGUCAGAGCUCCUCUUCCACGGUCUCCCGUCCUGUAAGUUGUACUGGCAGCUAGGUUAGUGCCAUGAAGAUCCACAAGAUGUGUGAUCACCUGGACGAUGACUCUGACUUUAAGACUUAGAAGUGUGGAUUUCUUUCAGAAACCUGAGUGGAAGAGUGUUGCCUUGGUUAUUGACUCUGUGCCACCUUCAUCUUUAACAAGCUGAUGCUAAAGAUUUCUGAGUUUCGAUUUUCAUUCUUAUGUUAGCUCUUAACCCAGGGCUAUUCUCACUCAUCCUUUACUUGUUAUAAGGAAUAGAGAGUCCUAAGAGAGUAUGGACUUCAAUAAUACAAAAUGAAACAGAUUGAAACACAGGGAGUGUGCUGAAUAUUUCCUAAAACUCUUUUGCUAGUCAGUUGAAAGAAAUAUAAAGUUUGUCUCCUCAACAUCAGAAUAUUUCAUAAGAACUCAUUUAUGAAAUAUUUUAUAUAAUAAAAAAGGGAUCGUUUGUAAAUAGAAAUGAGAAGUAGAUAAAUGCCUCUAAUAGAGAAAUAAUGAAAAAACCAUUACUCCUUUAUUUUAGAUGUGUGCAAUGUAUCUGGUUUUGUUUGUUUUCAAUAAGAGUUUUUCACAUUUCUUUGCUCUUCUCCUGUAUGUUUGAAUAUUGAUCUUGGCUUUCCCAAUUCUCUCACUGCUUUAUACGAAAAUCACAUUUUUAAAAGCCAGGAAAUUCUCUGAUAUGAGAAAGCAAUCUAUAGGUUGAGUGUGAUCCAUUCUUAAUAACGUCAAACAUGCUAGAAAUUUCUGAUUUUUUUACUAUCAUCAGUAAACUUCUGUUUAAAAGGAUUUGGGGACCAGUUUUUAUAGAAUGUGAAAAGGGAAAGUUUUUUCUUAACUUCAUUGCCUUUCUUAUUUCCCUAUGUACCCAUCCCCUUCAGGCUCUUUCUUAGUUCCUCAGAGAACCAAUUGGGACACCUCACUGGAUAUGGCCAUCAAGUUCAAUCCUUGCUUUGCCCACUCUCUGAAGCUACCAUUUUCUUAUCCCAUGUGUAUUUCUUCCCAAAUCUUAUUUCUGACUACUAUGAUAAUCUAAUUUAAGCUGAGACAGUGGUUUAAAUGUAUCAGCUUUCCCCAGGUGAUUGAUAAGGCUUUGGUAGGUUAAGCAUCAAGUCAGUAGGCUCAAGACUGGAAUCAAAUUGAGGACGAGGAGGUUUUCUGGGCACCUCAAAGUAACUUUCAAGCAGUGUGCCUUGUCAUAACUUGGGACUUAAAGAGAUGCUAAACUAUUUGACAAAAUAAAUCAUCAUAGAAAAAAUUAAUGUCCCUUCCCAUUAGUCAACAGUAUUAUUGGUCACUGUGCCCAGAGGUGUCUAAAUUUCUCACUUAGAUUAUUGAUAUAUUUAGAUGCUCUACUUCCUAUGAUUCUGUUCACUCAGGGUCUCUACUCUAGGAACUGAUGGUCUUAUUUACCAAGGUCCCUUCGAUACAUGAAAACCGUAAUACCUUGCAAGAAGAUGAGACUCUGAUCUUAUUAGAAUAGCCUUUAUCUAAUUAUAAGAGACUCAGCUAUUUGGGCCAAGAAAAUCCUCCUUUUAGAAAAUUUCUGAACGAUGCAAAUAUGCCCACUCUUAAAAUUCCAUCAGUUUAAUUUACUAAGAACUUCAAUAUAUUAAUCUUCCCAAAUGACAUGUCCUUUUAACAAGGGACUUCAAAGGAGUGACUAAUAUGAGAAUUGCAGACCAUGUGGCAAGACCAUGAGGAAUAUCUAUUUGAACAAUUGGAUUGCUCGUUUUCCAACACUCACAGCAGUAAUUCUUAGACAUUUAAUAUACCAUUUUUUUUCCUUUUUCUCCCCAAAGCCCCCCGGUACAUAGUUGUAUAUUCUUCGUUGUGGGUCCUUCUAGUUGUGGCAUGUUAAUACACCUUUUUAUAGAAGAGAACUAGCAGUAUCCUUGUAUAUCAUACAUCAUGCUCUGCUCACCUUUGUGUUUCUAUUUUAUAUUUAGAAGCAAGUGAGAGAUUACUUUUAUAAGGUAAUGGCUUUAUGGUAUUUUGGAGUAAUAAGAGAGAGCUCAGAGAAUAUCUGUUUCAAGAGUACUGAGUCCCAGAAAGUGUACUUGCCCAAGGUUACGGAGGAAAUUAAGACUGUGCCAACAUAGGACCUCUCCCUGGGUCCAGUUCUCUCUCCUUUACAAUGUGGCCCCUUUCAUGUGUUCUUGUAUAAAAAUGAAAAGCUGAGUUAUUUUGUUCUCCUGUCUUCCAAGAGUAAUUCAGAGUGAUGUUUGCUUAUAUUCUUGGCGUCAAUGACAAUGUCAGCUAAUACACUGGAAAUUUCCUCAAGUAACUUGACAGCCAUACACGCUGCAUUGUACAUCACUUAAACUGAGAGAAAAGUGUGACUAAUACAGCAUGCAUCAAAAUUAAUUCUGUCAUGAACCACUCUGUAUGAGUCAUAGAAGCCACAAUACUGUAUUUAGAAUAAUAAUAAGACAAGGAAUAAUGGCAUCCUAAAAUUUAAUGAGGUAGUUUAGUUUAAAUGUACAUUGUUAGUUUGUGUCAACCUACUGCCCAUUGCAAGCAGCACAUUUUUUAACAACCUUGUGCAAUGGGGCUGUAAAUUACUAUAAUUAAAUUAAGCCAUAACCUUAUCCAGGCAAUAUGAGGUAUUCGUACUUUGAUUCUGUAAUCACAUUAUCUGCUCAGAACAGAAACCACAGUGGAAAAAAGAAUCAAACAGCACAACCAACUAUCUCAUUAGUAAGUUUUCAAAAGGAAAAUAAAGCUACUUGGGAUUAUCUACCCAUUUAUCCAGGUAUGUCCAUCACAAAUGCCUUAAGUAAUUACCGAUUAAUUCAUCUUUGUUAACUGGUUGUUACAUUUGAAAGCAGAGCACAGUGUAGGAUAAGAAUGUUUGCCUCAAAUAAGCAUAUCUACAUGGCUUUAGGUUUAUUUCCAAUCUCACUUUAAGAGGAUAGGCAGAUGAAGAGAGAUUACUAGUUUGAUUAUACAGGAUGGUAAAGAUUCUGAUAGAGACAACCAUGAAUCCUGGAAGCAAUAUAAUAAAAUUACCUUUUUUUGGUUAUUGUUCCAUUAUGGUUUUCAUAAAAUUUGUGUUAUGCUAGGACUAUUUUGUGUGGAUUAUUUUGUUGUAUAUGUACUAAUUUCCAUGAGCAUGGUAAAUGGAGUUAGAAGGAGAUGCUUGUUAAUAAAAUGGGAAGAGGGAUUAAUCAUUUGCUCCUCUCCGUUUUAAUCAUUUGUAACCCGAUGGCACUUGUUUUGUAUUAUAACCAAUAUUAUUUUCAGGCCCCACUUCCCUCUAGACGGUAAGUUCUGUAAGUUGGAACUAUGAUUUAUUCCAAGACUGCACCAAAUGCCUAGCAUAGUACACAGUACAAAAUAGGGGUUCAAUAAACGUUUAUUGAAAGAAUUAAAAAUUAAUGAAAAGAAGUGAGAUGUGUUUUGUUCAGAUAUCAUGGUUUACAAACUCUAAAUUUCAAUUUUUCACUUUUCAGUUUCCCGAAAGCAUCCUUGUAUGGGUUAAAAGGCUCGGUGGUGGAAACUGAGCAGUCAUAUCAUGUCAUAUCACUUGUAGCUUCCACAGCCUCUUUUAGUGUUAAAAAAAUUUGGAUCUCAAAUUAUAACUUUCAAGCUCUGGUUUCUGACUUCAUCGCUGUUGUCUUGUCUAAUGCACUCAUAGCCCCAAAGUACUGAAAACAUAUGGAUGGAGUCACCAAAUAUAUUCAUAACAUAUUCACAUUUCUUUAUCAUGGGAUAUAACCAUACUGUGUUGCUGACCCUCUUUCUCUAUGAGAGAUACCAAAAUGGGGCACAGGUCAGAUAUUUCAGGACCUCACCAUCUUUGCACUUCACUCUUUAAAGCUGCAUGUACUGUUACAAUCAUACAAGAGCUGGACGUGACAACAUAAAAUAGGAGGUGAACAGGUGUUUCUAGAAAGAUCGAAUGUGUGUGUAUGGGAUUGUGAGGGUUUUGGUCUAUUAAUAUAUACUGCUCUUAGGGCCAAGGUUAGAUUGGCUUUAUUACUUGGCCCUGGCUACACUUUGAUCUUGCUCAAUGCUUAAAUGCUUAGUGGUGGUUGUAAAAAAAAAAAGAAAAUCAACCAAAGUGUUUAUAAGUCAAUCAUGUUCCUUAGAGCAUCCUGGAAAAAAACAAAAACAAAAUAAGACAGAACAAAAAAGAAAAUAAGCCAGUUCUCAGUAGAGUAUACGUUGAUAUGUCAUCAGCACCCAUGAAAGAGAGUGAAGCCAAGUGAGUAGUUUUGAAAUGGAAUACAUGCAUGUGGCAAGGGAUUGUGGGAUUUCUCUCAGAGGAAAAAGAAUAUGUAGAAUCUUAAAUUUGUUCUUUUAAUAAUCCUUGCUCAUGGUUCACCACAUCUUUGUUAUCGCAUUGAUAGCUAAUGGUUUAAAAUGUGAAAAAAAAUUGCAUUUAAAUAGAAAUAAUCAAGUGUUCAGUAGUGGAGUUAUGUUGCUUUGUAGAUUAUUCUCAUAUGUGGUAAAGUAGCAAGUAGUAAUACCAUUAAUUUCAGUCAUGUGAGUUUAAAUGAAUCACGAUGUACUGUUUAUUUUUCUUGUUGCUGAGUAUGUCAGGCAGGAGACUAAUUAGUUUGAAAAUCUCAUUUAGAAUACCUUCUACAUUAUAACCCCUGAGCAUGGAAAUUGACAGUAUUUAGUAAAAGAGAACACAGUGCAAUACCAGUAGAAAAAAAUGUGAUCUUAUAUUCAUCUUCCUGUGAAUGAGAGCAAAGGACUAGCGCCCAUUUUGUCUAAUUGCUAUAUUAUUCAAAGUUGUUGGUGAUGUUUCUUAAGUCUUAGAGAUCAUAUCUAAUAUUUAGCUGAAGCUCUAGGAUGGAAGAUAUUUCCUAGAGAGAACUCAUUUAUUUUGGAAGCAAUUUACCUAUUUUCUGUUGUUAUCAUGAAGCAUAUGGCAAGUUGUAAUACAUAAUUUUCUGUUUAGAAAUUUCUGGUUUCAAUGCCUAGAUUAAAAUUUGUUCAAAUUAAUGUCUUCAGAGACAAUAAAUAUCAAUUUUUAGAAAAUGAUGAGCCCUCGUUCUGUGAACCAAGCAUUAGAUAAGUGCUACACGUGUGUUAUCUACUUACUUUUCAAAGUAACUUGUAAGUAGUUACUGUUAUGCCCAUUUUACAGAUGAGGAGAUGAGGGUCACACACAAUGAGUGGCAGGGGAGGGAUGAGAACCCAUUAGUAUGGCUCAAGAGCUUGAGCUGGGUUGUAUGGUACUGCAGUUUAGCCCCGAGUGCUGUGUUUUGUUCCCAUAUCUGUCUGUCUAUCUAUGAUCUUAUCCACUGAUGAUGAAAAAUAAUUUAAUCUUUAUGAAUUUCAGUUCUCUGAUUGAUAAGUGGGUAUUUUCACUCCUGCCACCUCAGAAAAUAAAUGCUAUUGAAUAAUGCUGAGAAUGCUGUGAGAAAGGCACUAUCAUGUCCUGUGUUUGGAGUGCAAAUGGGCAUGAUCUUUGGAAGCAAUUUGGCAACGUGAAUCAAGGGCCUUAAAAGUUUUGUACCCUCUUUUUACCUUGUAUUCCCAUAGCUAGUAACAUCCUCAAGGAAUAAUCAGAGAUAUGGAUAAUGAUUUAUGUCUAGCCUUUGAAGUGAAUGUUCAACAAUAUCAAUAAAUCUAAAAUUUGCACAUUACUAAGUAAGUCGAUUUGGUAGAAAAUGUUCUCAAUU